Long non-coding RNA from Calidris pugnax (ruff), 1675 nucleotides. RefSeq lists it as uncharacterized. The record is from RefSeq and is a predicted model, not a curated record. The transcript is spliced from 2 exons. NCBI's taxonomy places the organism in Eukaryota, Metazoa, Chordata, Aves, Charadriiformes, Scolopacidae.
CCGCACCCGGUGCCGCCGCCCCGGCACGACCCCCCGCGGGGCUGGGUGGGCUGCGAGGCGGGCUCCCCUCCCCGAGGACAAGGUCAAGGAUGAAGGGUCAAUGUCGAGGUGUCUUAACGGCGGAAGGCGGCGGGGCCGCGGCAGCACCCCCUCGGCUUUCCGCCCUCCCGGCGCCCCGGAUUGAUUUGAAAGUGCCAUUUUGCGGGGGAAGCGCGUCCUGGCACCGGGACGCCGUGCGGGGCUUCGCCGGUCCUGCGGAGGUGACGGUGGUGCGGGACGGAGAUUUCCCUGCCUAUAAAGAGCGUUUCGUGUCUUAAAACUGCUUUAACGGCCGGGUUGGUUUAAGUUUCAGCCCCCCCCCCCCCCCCGGGGGUGGCCGAGCUGUGCCCAAGUGACCCCUCGGAGAGUUCAGAAUAAGGCCCCCACCUUCUGCUAAUCACGCCGUAUAACGAUAAUAAUUAAGUCCAGCGCAGCCGGGGUGCUGCAGGCCUGCUGCAAAUAAAGCUGCCCGGCCAGAAAAUGCCAUCAAGCCUCCUUCACCGCGCGGGUCCGGCAAAAAUCUUUGCAGAAAUCAGUACGUUAAUCCUAAUCUCUCAAGGAUAAUAAAAAUAUUUAUCCUAAAUCAGAAAAAGUCGCCCCAAUCGACUCCAAAAUCAUCAGACAAAACACCUUCUGGAGGGAGAUAUUAUCGCCGGGUGUCGCAAGGAGUGAAAUAAGCCGAUGUCAUCCCGGCUCCCUAAAUUGUCUGUCCCUGGUUGGAGGGAGAAAAAAGCCACCUGGAGCGGCGGGGAGCAAGGGGUUGUGAGAAGGAGAAUAGAAACUUUCGCUGUGACUUGACCGUGAACUUCCUGCGACGCGGGGCACGUGCAGCUUUUCACCUUUUUCUUCACGUUCUGGAUCAAAUCCUUCCUGUUUUGAUCUAAUAUAGAUAUCAUUAUUUGACAUAUGACUGUAAUAGACGUGAACGCCGUUGUAACUAAUCUUGACAACGUACCUAUAGCUUCGAUUCGUGCCAGGAAUUAAUUGGCUUUAAUCCAAUUACUAAAACUUGCUUCUCAGCCUUUAUUACACUUACUCUCUAGUAACGUGUGGGUGGAUUUGUUUGUAAUUUAGCAUAGGCCGUCCCUGGCACUGCACCAUCCCUCGUACCUAACACAGAACUGUCUGUAACAUCAAACUGGGGAGAAAAAAAAAAAAAAAAAGGGCAGGUGUGAGGGCAAUUACUUUAUCAUCUCUCGGCUCGGUGGCGGGGAGCUCGAAUUGUUAAGCCAACAAGUCAGCGGGCAAUAAAAACCUCUUGGCAAGCCCUGCCAACAUAAACCAGAGCGGGAACACGAUAAAAUAUAAUAUUAAACUUCUCUGACACCCUGGCUUUGCAUCGCAAGUGGCCUCAGCCCGCCUGGGGACCCUGCACGGCCCCGCCGCCGCCAGACACCCGCCCCCGGCGCUGCCCGGCAGCAAACAGGCUCUCAACUAUUCCCAGGGGAAAUUUUUCUCGGGAACCCCGACUCUCCUGAAGGUACAGUUCAGCUUUUCAUACGUCUCUGCCUCUCCCUUCGGACAGAGCCCCGGGACCGCGGUGGGCUGUCAGGUUGUGCCCCCCUCCCCGCAGCAGGGAGCUCGCCGAGUCCGAAAAACUCGGGUAAAACCCUCGCGGACGGAAGAGAAAAAAAAA